CCCCUACGGGGCGCAGCAGUGGGGAAUAUUGCACAAUGGGGGAAACCCUGAUGCAGCGACGCCGCGUGAGUGAGGGAGUAUUUCGGUAUGUAAAGCUCUAUCAGCAGGGAAGAAAAUGACGGUACCUGACUAAGAAGCCCCGGCUAACUACGUGCCAGCAGCCGCGGUAAUACGUAGGGGGCAAGCGUUAUCCGGAUUUACUGGGUGUAAAGGGAGCGUAGACGGAGGAGCAAGUCUGAUGUGAAAAUCCGGGGCCCAACCCCGGAAGUGCAUUG
This 275-nucleotide ribosomal RNA is filed under the name uncultured bacterium. RNAcentral's name for it is "partial 16S ribosomal RNA". It matches the Rfam family "Bacterial small subunit ribosomal RNA", at positions 336 to 628 of the family's 1533-position model. The record is from RNAcentral.